ACACAACAUUGUAAGUCAACUAUGUUUCAAUUAAAACAAAACCAAAAAACCCCCAAAACAACAACAACCAAAAAUGCAGGCAGCGUAGUAACACCCCAAGCUAAGCUUAAGGUACGGCUUGGUUGUGAAGCCAUUGGCCCCCAUCUUGGAACCCCCACGGCUUUGUGCUGCUGGAGCUGGAACUCAGCACGCUCAGUUUCUGCUCUGCUGGAUGCCUCCCGAUUAGGCUCCACCAACAGGGGGCACUAGAGGGAGAUCGGAGGCAGGGGUCGGGGGAAGGAGCAGGCCCCUUCCUGCGUGCUUCCUGGCUUGCCAGUUACGCACCAGGGCCCCUCCCUCUGGACCUGGACGCUGGCCGUUGAGUCCACCAGCAGCUGGUCCCAGUCUCUGGCCCUUUCCCCACACCCAGCAGCAGCCCCAUCACCCCUCCCCUCAGAGCUUUCAGCCCUGGCCCUGCUGCUGUCCCCUCCAGGAGGUCCCAGUUCUGCAGCCCCUCCCCCAAGCCUCUAGGUCUGAUGACACCCACUUCUUCCCUUUGUUCCUCCAGCCCCUGGUUACGGAAGCUGCUUCCUGCACUUAUUAUUCCUUUCUUAUUUCAGGGUCUGCCUUAUACAUUUGGAGUUCUCCAAUACCUGUUUAACCAAUUUCUUAUAUUAAAUUCUCUCUGCUAAAUAGUGUUGUUUCUAGUUUCCUGACUAGUUCAGAAAAUUAGGAAAUCAAAUUAUACGUAUACAGAAACAACGUAUGAAGCUAUGUAAAAGCAGAUGGGGAAUGGGGGAAAGUAGCAGAAGGAAAUUUACCGAAAUCCUAAUAAGUGGCUGUAUUAGAGGGUUAGUCUUACGGUGAUUUUUUUUCCUCCCUUCAUUCCUACUUUUGAGACUUUUUUUGGUAAGGUGGUUACAGGACUUUCGUACUAAGAAUAUGUAUCUUUAUAUAUUUUAAAAAAGAGGAUUUGAUGCCCGAUAAAAGACUAUGUAGCCUGAAGAGAGAUGCGCCUAUAAAACCGGGUGAAUUAUAAUCUGGGUAAUGAAAAGUGAUUGCCAAUGUGAUCACAAUUCCAUCGCGGGUAUCUUUUGGAAAAGAGAAGUGGGGUCCCAGCUCUCCAAGGGGCGAAAAUGGUACAGUUCAGAGAUAACGAAAUGAGAAGACUGAUGUGGGUCUCCAACAAAUUCUACGACAGCCUAUUGCGUAGAUGAGAACGCUGGGAGAAAGCUUGGGUUUACAGACACCAUAUUAUGCCAGAUUCCCCUCAUUUCCUUCUUUGUUGGGUUAUUAUAUGGGUUGAUCAUGUAUUCACUUAUUUAUUCGUUCGCUCAUUCAUCGAACAGACAUGAAUUACGUAAAUGUUCCACGAACUACGCUCCGGGAACUGCCUUGGCGAUGAAGACAGAAAUACAAGCUUCUCGUAGGAGAGAAAAGAACAAAUAUGUAUAGAGACUCUGCCGUGUUCCCGGCAACGGCAGCCGUGGAAAAGUACUGCUUGGAUCGUCUGGUGUGCGGGGACCCAGCUGCUUCUCUUCCAGACUCACCACCACAUUCGCACCAAGGCCACUGUCCCCCAAGCUGCUUUCGAUCCAAUGACAGAGCACAGUAGAGAGGACCAGAUAGAAAGGGUCCCUGCCCCAUGUGAGAUGACUCUACCAUGCUGUGGCAUUAACGCGACCACAUUUCCCGCCCCUUCUAUUUCCGAACAACCUUCAUCAAACUGCUCCCUGGAAGGGCGAAGCCUCACAGUUGCAGGGAUGGAUGUGAGCUGAGACGAGUUUUAAGGGCUCAGCAAUCUGCUGACAGAGGAUGAAAGGAGGGAGUUGAGGACCAGUCAGAAGAAGUUCCACCCCCAACGUCGGCGUCCAUCUCCGUGCCCCCCUGCCCUCCCCACCUGCAGGGAGGCUAGCAAAUGGAGUUCUGUCAUCGGGCGCAUUGCUGGUAAGAAGGGAGGGUAGAUCUGAAGAGGCACCAGCAGUCUUGACACAGACUCGAAAGGAAGACUCUGCUCAAAUGCUGGACUGAAAGCAAAUGACCACUUUCUGCUCACCCAGCUUGGACUAUCUCCAUAUAAGACGAAGGCUGUUUGCCAGGGGGACCUUCUGUGCUGGCCCUCUGGGGUUGAAUAAAGGCCAAAUAUUCCCCACAUCUAUUCUGCCCGAGGUUCUGCAUACAGUUCGGAGAAAUUUUCCUUUUUGGUGAAUACAACCACCUCUGAAAACAUGACCACAAAGGCAUUCAGUCCCCAGAGACCCCCAAAGACCAAUGAGACAUGGAAACAGAAAAGGUAACGUACGAAUUCAGAAAAAUCACGCCCGGCUUCCUCCUGUAACUCAAGCAAACUACUUUCAUAAUUUAAAGCAAAAAAACCCCCAACAAACCACACAAAACCCCGUAUGAAGAAUGCCUUCAGUGAAAAGGAGGGCGUGAGUCAAGAGACCUCAGGUUGGGCUCUCUCUGGUUUGGAGAACGUGGCAAGAUGAUCGAAGGUCCCGUUUCAAUGGCGGUUGGAAAUAUGGAACUACGAUGUGGGGAUCGGGGUCCCAGAAAAUGGAUUUGAUGGCUCAUAGAGAAGAGGAGGAAGAGUAUAGAGAAAGGAAUGACAAAUUCCCAGAAGCUUCUGCUCACGCGCCCGGCUGUGUCUAAAAUAACCAGCACCAACCCCUUCCAAGUCAACCCAUGUCUUCAAGGACCAAUCACUAGAUAAUACUAAGUGCCCAUCCAUUUGAAAAGAGGGAUAAUCUGCGACUAAGAAACACGCAAUGAAGGUGAUCUAAAAUGAUAACUUUGGUAGAAAACGUGCUUAAAGAUGUGUGUCUAAAUAUGUCAGUAUUUACCAUAUAACUGAGGAGUGCUUUCUUCCCUCUGAAAUUAAAUUUUGCAAUUUAAGACAACUCACUCUGAUGAAAGGACCGUUUAUUCACUAAGGAAGUUAUUUCUGUGCAACGUUAAUCAUCUUAAGCUCAGGGUUUCUCCAGAGGGAUUAUUACCACUUUGUUACAGGAAAGAAACCACAUUACUAGACUAGUAUCCUCGCUAACACUGUAAGAUGGAAUUCAGAAAUAUGAUGGGCGUUAUGACUUCCCUGUGGGCGCCACAAUCACACAUGGGCACCAUUAUCGCCGGUGGAAAAGACGGCAACCGCUUUGGGUGCAAUGGAAACGACACGUUAAUGAAACUGACCAGGCUGACGUGUUCUUGAGCGCUGAUGGAAUUCACGGAAAAAGCCUUAUUUGUGAGCAGCUUAAAUAGUUGGAAGAUCCUGACUGACAUUCACCGCCGUGACGAUGACAGACUUAAUCCCAGAAUUUCACAUAACGGUGUAGCGCGUUGAGAAAAGUGAAUAAUCCUUACUCUUUUAGACACCCAGAUACGCAUUAAGCAUUUUAAAUAAUGCUCUUAUAUCUAAAACUAUUUGAGACUAUCGACUGGGGCUCGGCUCUGGCAAAAACUGUGCCAUUGGGAGAAUUCCUUACAUAUCUCAACAGUCUCUGUUCCCAGUGAAAUGGGCAUUCAUUACGUAUUUCAGUAUUUUUCCCUUUCUCCCCGCCAGCAGAGAUUGCAAACAUGGUACCAGGAUCUCGCUUCUUCCCCGGCAGGCGUCACUAGUCAGUCUCGGCAUAUUUGCUUGCUAAGCCCAGACCAGCUUUCCAGAGAUAACACCUCAGUGAUAGGCCAGUGGGUCGGCGCUUGGGUGAAACAAAGUUGCCCUUCCUGUCCCCCCAAGAUAGCUCUACAGACCUGGUUUAAAAAGUUAGCUACGUUCCAUAUAUUCAGCUCUCUAGAAAAUUUCUUUUUAUGACUGUCAAAAGUGUUUCUCAAUAGGUUAUUGGGAAACCAGAUGUGAUUAUACAUAAUUAAAACACCACCAAUCUUUUAAACUCACACAUGUAGAAGAUAAGAUAUGAUAAAAUGGUCAGCCAACUCAUGUAUAAAAACCUGAGUGAUACCUUUCAUAAAUAUAUUUUUGUAUAAUGGAGUAAACCCGUAAGCACAGUUAAGUUUUAUUGAUCUGUGGAAUAUUAGUAUCUGAGAGGAGAUCGAUUCAUCAUACUUUUUUAAAUUCAAGCAUAGUUGACUUACAAUAUUAUAUUAUUUUCAUGUGUACAGCAUAGCGAUAUGGUAUUUUUACAGACUGUACUCCAUUAGAAGUUAUUACAAGAUAAUGGCUAUAAUUCCCUGUGCUGC
Long non-coding RNA from Aethalodelphis obliquidens (Pacific white-sided dolphin), 4173 nucleotides. RefSeq lists it as uncharacterized. Lineage: Eukaryota; Metazoa; Chordata; Mammalia; Artiodactyla; Delphinidae. The record is from RefSeq and is a predicted model, not a curated record. The transcript has 3 exons.